Molecule: non-coding RNA, 177 nt
Organism: Clostridium beijerinckii NCIMB 8052
Lineage: Bacteria; Bacillati; Bacillota; Clostridia; Eubacteriales; Clostridiaceae
Source: Rfam
UAAUUGAAUUUUUAAAAUGAUUUUUAAUUAAUUAAAAGGGAAUUAGGUGAAAUUCCUAAACUAUCCCGUAGCUGUAUUAGAGGAGUUUAAAUACAUUGGAUGCCACUUAAAAAUAGGGAAGGCGUAUUUAAAUGAUGAUUCUUAAGUCAGAAGACCUGCCUAUGUUUUGCACCAAAG